Long non-coding RNA from Nicotiana tabacum (common tobacco), 680 nucleotides. RefSeq lists it as uncharacterized. NCBI's taxonomy places the organism in Eukaryota, Viridiplantae, Streptophyta, Magnoliopsida, Solanales, Solanaceae. The record is from RefSeq and is a predicted model, not a curated record.
UCGGUUUCAAUCUAGUUGUAAAGAAGGAAGAUAUGACCGUAUCUGCAUGCUACUUUGUCCCACAUCGUCUCAAAAGCAAGAAUUAAUUCCUUCGUUAUACCUAUUUAGCGGUCUCUAAUUAUGAACUUCUACACAUAGCUAUUGGGCCCGCUUAAGUGCGGGCCCUUGAUGGCUCACAUCACCUUGUAGUAAGGUCCCUUCCAAGAGUUGCAGUAUGCUGGAAAUCUUGUCUGUGAGUUUGCUGGCACCUAUGGAUUCAGGAGGUAGCCCACAUUCACAACUGAGCAUUUGCACAUGAAGCACCAGCUGACAGCUAACAUAUGUAAUUCUGCGCUUUCUCAUUUUCUCGGCUGUCAGCACUGCAUCCGAGUUUCAAGCACCAAUCUGAUAAACACACCUUUCUUGGAGAUUGAAACAAGACAAAAGUUGGCUACUGGCGCAGAAUGAAGCAAACACCAAGCUGAUAAACACACCUUUCUAAAUGUAGAAUGCUGCAUUAGAUUGUUAAGGUGUACGUUAAAAAAUUGUUUGGGUCAUUUUUUUUUUUUGGUAACUCAUUUUCUUUUCUUGUUUGGAGAUUGAAGCAAAGACAAAAAUUGGCUAAUGGCGCAGUAUGCCUGCAUGUUGUAUACUUCUUUUGCUGAUUUGGCAUAUCUGUUGAAGUUUUUCUUUUUGGUAAA